CACCUCCUUCUCCUCCACCCCCUUCUCCCAAUGCUCCUCCACCGACUCCUCCGCCAUCUCCACCCAUUGCUCCAGUUCCGCCUCCCUCCAAUCCCUCACCUCCGCCAUUAACACCACCACCAACUUCACCUCCACCGCCACCACCACCGACCAAUCCGCCCAGGAGUCCGCCUCCCCCACCACCUACAGAACCACCAGUGACUUCACCUCCUCCACCAUCUUCAAACCCCCCUAAAAGUUCACCACCACCAUCAGAACCACCAAAAACCUCACCCCCACCACCAUCUAAACCACCCCCUGUUUCACCACCAUCACCAUCACCAUCAAGUCCACCUGAGGAUUCACCUCCACCACCUGUACCUGUGCCACCCAGUAAUUCAACCCCUCCCGCCCCGUCUCCAUCUGGUUCUCAACCAGCAACUCCACCCUCUCCAAAUUCUCCUCCAAAAGGAUCGCCACCACCACCCAGGACACCAACUCCAC
This 483-nucleotide long non-coding RNA is filed under the name Vitis vinifera (wine grape). Its description in RNAcentral is "long non-coding RNA (VVIN_LNC000034)". Lineage: Eukaryota; Viridiplantae; Streptophyta; Magnoliopsida; Vitales; Vitaceae. The record is from RNAcentral.